ACUCAAAUGAAUUGACGGGAGAGCGCACAACCAGUGGAACAUGUGGUUUAAUUCGAUAAUAACCGUAGGACCUCACCCAGGCUUGACAUGUAACUGCACAGUCGAUGAAAGUCGACUUCUUUCGAAGGUGUUACACAGGUGUUGCAUGGCUGUCGUCAGCUCGUGCCGUGGGGUGUUCCCUUAAGUGGGAUAACGAGCGCAACCCCUAUCGUAUGUUGAAUAUUCAUACGAGACUGCUCUCUUUAUGGAGAGAGGAAGGAGGGGACGACGUCAAGUCAGCAUGGCCCUUAUGUCUGGGGCAACACACAUGUUACAAUGAGGCCGACAAUGGGUCGCCAAGCCGCAAGGCGGAGCUAAUCCCAUCAAACGGCCUCUCAGUGGGGAUUGCAGUCUGAAACUCGACUGCAUGAACGCGGAAUUGGUAGUAAUCGCAAAUCAGCUAUGUUGCGGUGAAUACGUUCUCGCUCUUUGCACACACCGCCCGU
RNAcentral lists this ribosomal RNA (485 nucleotides) under uncultured bacterium. Its description in RNAcentral is "partial 16S ribosomal RNA". It matches the Rfam family "Bacterial small subunit ribosomal RNA", at positions 899 to 1397 of the family's 1533-position model. The record is from RNAcentral.